Molecule: unclassified non-coding RNA, 320 nt
Filed under: plant metagenome
Description: partial contains 5.8S ribosomal RNA, internal transcribed spacer 2, and large subunit ribosomal RNA
Rfam family: 5.8S ribosomal RNA (bases 1-105)
Source: RNAcentral
GAAAUGCGAUAAGUAAUGUGAAUUGCAGAAUUCAGUGAAUCAUCGAAUCUUUGAACGCACAUUGCGCCCGCCAGUAUUCUGGCGGGCAUGCCUGUUCGAGCGUCAUUACAACCCUCAGGCCCCCGGGCCUGGCGUUGGGGAUCGGCGGAAGCCCCCUGCGGGCACAACGCCGUCCCCCAAAUACAGUGGCGGUCCCACCGCAGCUUCCAUUGCGUAGUAGCUAACACCUCGCAACUGGAGAGCGGCGCGGCCACGCCGUAAAACACCCAACUUCUGAAUGUUGACCUCGAAUCAGGUAGGAAUACCCACUGAACUUAAGC